AUUGAACGCUGGCGGCAUGCCUUACACAUGCAAGUCGAACGGCAGCACGGGAGCAAUCCUGGUGGCGAGUGGCGAACGGGUGAGUAAUAUAUCGGAACGUGCCCAGUCGUGGGGGAUAACGUAGCGAAAGCUACGCUAAUACCGCAUACGAUCUAUGGAUGAAAGCGGGGGAUCGCAAGACCUCGCGCGAUUGGAGCGGCCGAUAUCAGAUUAGGUAGUUGGUGAGGUAAAGGCUCACCAAGCCGACGAUCUGUAGCUGGUCUGAGAGGACGACCAGCCACACUGGGACUGAGACACGGCCCAGACUCCUACGGGAGGCAGCAGUGGGGAAUUUUUGGACAAUGGGCGCAAGCCUGAUCCAGCAAUGCCGCGUGCAGGAUGAAGGCCUUCGGUUGUAACGUGACUUUUGUUACGGUAACGGAAACGGUA
Molecule: ribosomal RNA, 429 nt
Filed under: uncultured bacterium
Lineage: Bacteria
Description: bacterial SSU rRNA
Rfam family: Bacterial small subunit ribosomal RNA
Source: RNAcentral